GGGGUAAUUUAUUACCUGCUGACGAGCGGCGGACGGCUGAGUAACGCGUGGGAACGUACCCCAAAGUGAGGAAUAACUGCCCGAAAGGGUGGCUAAUGCCGCAUAUGGUCUUCGGAUUAAAGGAUUUAUCCGCUUUGGGAACGGCCUGCGUAUGAUUAGAUAGUUGGUGAGGUAAUGGCUCACCAAGUCUACGAUCAUUAAUUGGUCUGAGAGGAUGACCAGUCAGACUGGAACUGAGACACGGUCCAGACUCCUACGGGAGGCAGCAGUGAGGAAUCUUCCACAAUGGGCGAAAGCCUGAUGGAGCGACGCCGCGUGCAGGAUGAAGGCCUUCGGGUUGUAAACUGCUUUUAAAAGUGAAGAAUUUGACGGUAGCUUUUGAAUAAGCACCGGCUAACUACGUGCCAGCAGCCGCGGUCAUACGUAGGGUGCAAGCAUUAUCCGGAGUGACUGGGCGUAAAGAGUUGCGUAGGUGGUCUGUUAAGUGAAUGGUGAAAUCUGGUGGCUCAACCAUCAGACUAUUAUUCAAACUGGCAGACUCGAGAAUAGCAGAGGUAACUGGAAUUUCUAGUGUAGGAGUGAAAUCCGUAGAUAUUAGAAGGAACACCAAUGGCGUAGGCAGGUUACUGGGCUAUUUCUGACACUGAGGCACGAAAGCGUGGGGAGCGAACCGGAUUAGAUACCCGGGUAGUCCACGCCGUANACGAUGGAUACUAGCUGUUGGAGGUAUCGACCCCUUNAGUAGCGAAGCUAACGCGUUAAGUAUCCCGCCUGUGGAAUACGGUCGNCAGACUAAAACAUAAAGGAAUUGACGG
RNAcentral lists this ribosomal RNA (815 nucleotides) under uncultured bacterium. RNAcentral describes it as "bacterial SSU rRNA". It matches the Rfam family "Bacterial small subunit ribosomal RNA", at positions 72 to 916 of the family's 1533-position model. The record is from RNAcentral.